GGCACUUGAAAUGAUUACUGCAUCAAAUUAUUAGUCUUUAUAGUAAAAGAUAGGCAAAAUGAAAACAACAACAUACAUAACUAAGUGAAAACAACAAUGUUACUUAACAAAUUUAAAAGAUUGUCAUUUGCAACUAGUACAAAUUGAACAACAAUGUACGUAACAAAUUUGAAAACAACAACGUAGGUGACAAAUUGAAAAAAUAGCCAUUAGCAGCCAGUGUCUACACAUCAUAAGCAAAUCGAAAAACAUAAAAGAGAAAUUCAACAAAAUAAAAAGGGAAAAACAUACCUAAAAAC
Molecule: long non-coding RNA, 299 nt
Filed under: Lathyrus oleraceus (garden pea)
Lineage: Eukaryota; Viridiplantae; Streptophyta; Magnoliopsida; Fabales; Fabaceae
Description: Pisum sativum (pea) long non-coding RNA (PSAT_LNC032417)
Source: RNAcentral